RNAcentral lists this ribosomal RNA (397 nucleotides) under uncultured bacterium. RNAcentral's name for it is "partial 16S ribosomal RNA". It matches the Rfam family "Bacterial small subunit ribosomal RNA", at positions 523 to 918 of the family's 1533-position model. The record is from RNAcentral.
AUACGUAGGGGGCGAGCGUUGUCCGGAAUGAUUGGGCGUAAAGGGCGCGUAGGCGGCCCGGUAAGUCUGGAGUGAAAGUCCUGUUUUUAAGAUGGGAAUUGCUUUGGAUACUGUCGGGCUUGAGUGCAGGAGAGGUAAGUGGAAUUCCCAGUGUAGCGGUGAAAUGCGUAGAGAUUGGGGGGAACACCAGUGGCGAAGGCGACUUACUGGACUGUAACUGACGCUGAGGCGCGAAAGUGUGGGGAGCAAACAGGAUUAGAUACCCUGGUAGUCCACACUGUAAACGAUGAAUGCUAGGUGUUGCGGGUAUCGACCCCUGCAGUGCCGGAGUAAACACAAUAAGCAUUCCGCCUGGGGAGUACGGCCGCAAGGUUGAAACUCAAAUGAAUUGACGGGG